RNAcentral lists this ribosomal RNA (210 nucleotides) under Triticum aestivum (bread wheat). Its description in RNAcentral is "partial small subunit ribosomal RNA". Lineage: Eukaryota; Viridiplantae; Streptophyta; Magnoliopsida; Poales; Poaceae. The record is from RNAcentral.
AUGAAAAUAUUGAGCUGGAAUUGCCGGGGGUUAGGAUCGCCCUCGGCAAUUCGAUCGCUGCUAGAACUUCAACGGCAGCAUGAUCCAGAUGUCCUUUUCCUCUCGGAGACACACCUGGAUGAGUCAAGCGGGGAAAGGUUGCGAGUUAAGCUAGGGUACGAUAGUAAAUUUGUUUCUCCCAGCAAUGGUAGAAGCGGAGGGUUGAUGAUG